ACACGGGAAAGGAGGUGGUUCGAAGAAUGGAUAUUCAGAGGACGCGUGAGGUGGCUGCCGGUUGAGCGCCACAGCCGUGGUGACCUACCACGGCACGCUGCAGAGGAUUUCCUCUCCGCGCGAGCGCUGAGCUAAUCCAAGGCAGUCACCCGGCCCCCGAGCCCCCGGUUUGUCCGACCGGGAACCGCGAUGAGACACCGUCUCCGCAGGUAAGGCUCGGGGGCCGUACCCG
Molecule: small RNA, 232 nt
Filed under: Nocardia nova SH22a
Lineage: Bacteria; Bacillati; Actinomycetota; Actinomycetes; Mycobacteriales; Nocardiaceae
Description: Actinobacteria sRNA Ms_IGR-5
Rfam family: Actinobacteria sRNA Ms_IGR-5
Source: Rfam by way of RNAcentral